GUGUAUGUAAUUUAAAAAAAAUAUCAAGCUGUGACCCUGACAUUAGGAACCCCUCAUACAC
RNAcentral lists this transfer RNA (61 nucleotides) under Zamenis longissimus (aesculapean snake). RNAcentral's name for it is "tRNA-His". Lineage: Eukaryota; Metazoa; Chordata; Lepidosauria; Squamata; Colubridae. The record is from RNAcentral.